AAUGAACGUUGGCGGCAUGGAUUAGGCAUGCAAGUCGGGGGAAUCCCAGCAAUGGGGGAACCGGCGUAGGGGCAGUAAGGCAUGGGUACCUACCUUGGGGUUCGGGAUAGCCAUCAGAGAUGGUGGGUAAUACCGGAUGACGUCGUGAGACCAAAGAUUUAUCGCCCUUAGAGGGGCCCAUGUGAUAUUAGCUAGUUGGUGGGGUAACGGCCCACCAAGGCGAAGAUGUCUAGCGGGUGUGAGAGCACGACCCGCGCCACUCUCACUGAGACACUGGCGAGACACCUACGGGUGGCUGCAGUGGAGGAUCUUCGGCAAUGAGGGCAAGCUUGACCGAGCUAUGCCGCGUGAGCGACGAAGGCCUUCGGGUUGUAAAGCUCUUUAGUGGGGGAGAAAAGCCGCAAGGUGUGAUCUAUCCCAAAAAUAAGCACGGGCUAAGUUCGUGCCAGCCGCCGCGGUAA
RNAcentral lists this ribosomal RNA (461 nucleotides) under uncultured bacterium. RNAcentral's name for it is "partial 16S ribosomal RNA". It matches the Rfam family "Bacterial small subunit ribosomal RNA", at positions 29 to 523 of the family's 1533-position model. The record is from RNAcentral.